AGCCAGCGUAGUCUUCUCUGAGUAAGAAGAGCAUAGAUGCUGUGCAUAUUGGACCGUUUCAGAACGUCCUGGUUGGAAACAUGAUCCAUCCAUGAGAUGCACAUUAUGCGUCGCAGGCAGCGUAAGUGGAAGCUAUCUAAUCUGCGUUCUUAAGACAUGUAAAUUUCCCAACUCUCAUGGACAUAAAGAAGUGUGCUGAGGACG
This is a non-coding RNA of Biomphalaria pfeifferi, 204 nucleotides long. The record is from the annotation of a GenBank genome assembly. Lineage: Eukaryota; Metazoa; Mollusca; Gastropoda; Planorbidae.